GACGAACGCUGGCGGCGUGCCUAAUACAUGCAAGUCGAGCGGAACUGGGGGAGCUUGCUCCUUCCAGUUUAGCGGCGGACGGGUGAGUAACACGUGGGCAACCUGCCCUGCAGAUCGGGAUAACUCCGGGAAACCGGUGCUAAUACCGAAUAGUUUGGCGCCUCUCCUGAGGCGCUACGGAAAGACGGUUUCGGCUGUCACUGCUGGAUGGGCCCGCGGCGCAUUAGCCAGUUGGUGGGGUAACGGCCCACCAAGGCGACGAGGCGUAGCCGACCUGAGAGGGUGACCGGCCACACUGGGACUGAGACACGGCCCAGACUCCUACGGGAGGCAGCAGUAGGGAAUCUUCCGCAAUGGACGCAAGUCUGACGGAGCAACGCCGCGUGAGUGACGAAGGUUUUCGGAUCGUAAAACUCUGUUGUGAGGGAAGAACACGUACCAACUAACUAUUGGUACCUUGACGGUACCUCACCAGAAAGCCACGGCUAACUACGUGCCAGCCGCCGCCGUAA
This 512-nucleotide ribosomal RNA is filed under the name uncultured bacterium. Its description in RNAcentral is "partial 16S ribosomal RNA". It matches the Rfam family "Bacterial small subunit ribosomal RNA", at positions 28 to 523 of the family's 1533-position model. The record is from RNAcentral.